Molecule: transfer RNA, 63 nt
Filed under: Heterocephalus glaber (naked mole-rat)
Lineage: Eukaryota; Metazoa; Chordata; Mammalia; Rodentia; Bathyergidae
Rfam family: tRNA
About the family: Transfer RNA (tRNA) molecules are approximately 80 nucleotides in length.
Source: Rfam by way of RNAcentral
GGGGGUGUAGCUCAGUGGUAGAGUGCUUGCCUGGUAUGCAUGAGGCCCCGGGUUCCAGCCCCU